Long non-coding RNA from Mastomys coucha (southern multimammate mouse), 1002 nucleotides. RefSeq lists it as uncharacterized. The record is from RefSeq and is a predicted model, not a curated record. The transcript has 3 exons. NCBI's taxonomy places the organism in Eukaryota, Metazoa, Chordata, Mammalia, Rodentia, Muridae.
GAUCAGGAAGAUGCCUGAACCAAGGUGUGCUGCUGCGGGCCUCCCUUUCAACCUAUCUAGGAAGGAGGAAACAGUGGGUUGGCAGAGACAGUGAGAAGGGAGAGCUUGGGUCUUGGUAAAGUACAUUAGUGGGUAGGAGACCCUUCCCCAGACCUAUUCUGUGAUCUGGACGCCUCUGUGAGGCCCACGCAUGGUCUUUUCUUCCUUCUGCCCUGUUCCAAGGCCACCUCCAACCUGGGAAAUGAGACUUCUGGCCUAAAGGAAGACGCUGGAAGCCUGGAAAGCUCUGCCUAGGGCUCGUUGCCCUGCUUCUCAAUGAUUCACCCUCCUAGGAAGCUCUGCUAGGUAUCCUCCCCUAUUUCCGUGGUGGCUCCAACUCCCUCCCUGCCAGGGGUCCUCAGGAUGCUGUGAGGGAGUGUCUAGCCAGAAUGAGGGGCACUCAGACCCCCAUUUCAGCACGUUGGGGUAAAGUGUUUCAGCCUGGAGACACGUGAUGACCCCAGCAAGCUGAUCUUGAGAGUGGGUGGCCCAGCAUCUCCGUUAGGCCCUGCAGUCUCCUUCCUGGAUUGUUUUUGAUGCCCUGUGGUUUUUGAAGAGGCCAAUGUGCCUGCCACAGGAGGAAGCUAGGUAAAGCAGUACAAGGCUUCUCUUUUUUUGAGAGUAACAUUGAGAGGUGUCCUCUGGUAUCCAUAUGAUCCAGCAGAUGCCAAACUUGCUUUAUUGCAGAAUCUGAACCUUUAUCCCAGCAGAGACUCCACUUGAAGAAAUCUACAGUCUGCUUGAUAGGCAGUCUUCAUUUUCCCUGUGAUAUGCAACCAAGCCUUUACAUUGCAGGCAACAAUGCUCUUUUCUUGUUCUCUGGUUACAAGAAAUCUCUUUCAGCCAUUUGCCUCCAUGCAAACGCCUCAACUGAGGAAAACAUUGGAAUUUUAUUUGAAGGAGAAUUUGUCCCCAGACCCCCCCCCCACCAGUGGGAGAGUGCCAAAACUCCAGUCACUGCCA